This 218-nucleotide ribosomal RNA is filed under the name uncultured cyanobacterium. RNAcentral describes it as "partial 16S ribosomal RNA". It matches the Rfam family "Bacterial small subunit ribosomal RNA", at positions 81 to 314 of the family's 1533-position model. Lineage: Bacteria; Bacillati; Cyanobacteriota. The record is from RNAcentral.
CUUUUUAAGUUCUAGUGGCGGACGGGUGAGUAACGCGUGAGAAUUUACCUCUAGGAGGGGAACAACAGUUAGAAAUGACUGCUAAUGCCCCAUAUGCUUUAUAGUGAAACGGAUUCGUCCGCCUGGAGCAAAGCUCGCGUCUGAUUAGCUAGUUGGUAAGGUAAUAGCUUACCAAGGCGACGAUCAGUAGCUGGUUUGAGAGGAUGAUCAGCCACACU